Long non-coding RNA from Triticum aestivum (bread wheat), 1561 nucleotides. RefSeq lists it as uncharacterized. The record is from RefSeq and is a predicted model, not a curated record. The transcript has 4 exons. NCBI's taxonomy places the organism in Eukaryota, Viridiplantae, Streptophyta, Magnoliopsida, Poales, Poaceae.
GGGCGCCAUUUGUGGCUUAUAAACCCUCCAGACUUGAAUUGUAUCUCUAUGAACAUUUUAGAGUAAUAAAACAGUGUGUUUAGAUGAAAAAAGAAAACCCCCAAUGCUAGCCUCUUGCCGCAAAAAAAAAACAACAAAAAUGCCAGCCUCUUCCAUUGGUGUCUCCUCCUCACUGGAGAACAGCGGCGGCAAACUUCUUCUCACUCUCGCCUCGCACUGUCUCCCCAAUCCGGCUGAGAGCCUCCUGCACACCGCCGACUCGCUCUCCUUUGCCUCAGCUAGCCGUCCUCCUGCCAUCGCUUAGCGGCGAGAACACCACGACGCCGCUCGCUCUUCUCCCGCCGACCUCAUCUCCUCCUAGAUCUCUGCAGAGCGCCUCCUGUUGGAUGACCUCGCGUGUGCGCCGCCCGCCGCUUCACACAUGAGCGCCGCCAUCUUGCUUCCGUUCUGGAGAGCCUCCCGACAGCCGCCGCUGGCCUCUCCAUUCUCCCUCGCGCCUGCCUGCCCUCCGCCUCGCCUUGCUUCCGCCCAAGGUAGUUAAUUGUAAGGGCGAUCUUGCACAGUUCUACCUGAUGCACUGCGUAAUCAAGUCUUUCCAGACUUGUUGAGCGCCUUUCCCCAGCUAUAGCCAAGUGUUGAUAUCAAAACGGUGCCAUCUCAACUCAUGGAUAUACUGCCACAAGUCCUGAAACUGAAAGAACUGGAUCAUCAGCCUCCAUGAUGAGACACACACAGCAAGGCAGACUCGGCCCUGCUCCAGCGAGUACAGGGGUUUGUCAACUGUCAGCGUCCGAGCUCAGACCGCUCAUCACACCUCCAACAAUGCUCAUGAACACCUCAUGCAUGAGAUCCAACGGAAGAAGGAAGACUUGUAUGAUGUGAUAGCCAAGCAAUAGUACGGCAACAGAGGUAUCUUUGGAAAGCUUUCGACGGCUGCAGGCAACAUUGGUUGGCUGUACGGACGUUCUUAUUCCUCCAGCGAACUCGGCAGCAACAUUGGACGUUCCGUCGAAAAUUGCAAUUUCGACGGGCUUUGAUGGAGAUUCCGGCCGAGUUCUUUUCCUUCUUAUAGGAGGCAACACAAAUCGGGGUCGGGCACUGAAUUGCUUGGAGUUGGAGAAGGACACGGACUGCAAUUUUCCAUCCAAAUCACGACAGAGAAGCACACCGAAGAUUGGGAAGGAUACAGCGGAAGAGGCUGGAGGGGACUGGCAGCGGCGGACAGCAAGCGAGCGAGCGUACGAUGGCCGCCGUCACCGUGCGGCGCCGGCAUACGUUGCACCUCCUGCUCCCCGUUGGCCGGGGCCCCUGCUCCGCCACCCGUCCACCCCGUUCGCCGCGGCGGCCUGCAACACUGCCGGUGUGACAGUGAGCGUCUGCAUAUACGAAGAAACAGAGGACACGCGAAAGGGCUUCUCUGUUUUAUUGAAUCGUUUUUUCAGAUACACUUACAUAGGGAGUGCGGGUUGAAUACCAAAAAAUAGAAGGGCUUUUCUGCAAAAGUGCCGCGACGACGUACGACAUUAGGAAAAGAUUUUGACGAAAAUUUUGGUACCCCAAA